GUCCCCGCACAAGCAGCGGAGCGUGUGGUUUAAUUCGUUGCUACACGAAGAACCUUACCUGGGUUUGACAUAUAGGUAGUAGGGAAACGAAAGUGGACCGACUCUUCGGAGAGCCUAUACAGGUGUUGCAUGGCUGUCGUCAGCUCGUGUCGUGAGAUGUUCGGUUAAGUCCGCUAACGAGCGCAACCCUCGCUGUGUGUUACAAGUGUCACACGGGACUGCCGGUAUUAAGUCGGAGGAAGGUGGGGAUGACGUCAAGUCAGCAUGACCUUUAUAUCCAGGGCUACACACACGCUACAAUGGUCAGUACAAUAGGUUGCCAAGCCGCGAGGCGGAGCCAAUCCUGUAAAACUGGCCUCAGUUCAGAUUGCAGUCUGCAACUCGACUGCAUGAAGUUGGAGUUGCUAGUAACCGCAGGUCAGCUAUACUGCGGUGAAUACGUUCCCGGGGAUU
RNAcentral lists this ribosomal RNA (453 nucleotides) under uncultured bacterium. Its description in RNAcentral is "bacterial SSU rRNA". It matches the Rfam family "Bacterial small subunit ribosomal RNA", at positions 917 to 1382 of the family's 1533-position model. The record is from RNAcentral.